RNAcentral lists this ribosomal RNA (402 nucleotides) under uncultured bacterium. RNAcentral's name for it is "partial 16S ribosomal RNA". It matches the Rfam family "Archaeal small subunit ribosomal RNA", at positions 473 to 873 of the family's 1478-position model. The record is from RNAcentral.
ACACCGGCAGCUCAAGUGGUAGCCGCUUUUAUUGGGCCUAAAGCGUCCGUAGCCGGUCUGAUAAGUCUCUGGUGAAAUCCCACAGCUUAACUGUGGGAAUUGCUGGAGAUACUAUCAUGACUCGAGGUCGGGAGAGGCUGGAGGUACUCCCAGGGUAGGGGUGAAAUCCUGUAAUCCUGGGAGGACCACCUGUGGCGAAGGCGUCCAGCUGGAACGAACCUGACGGUGAGGGACGAAAGCCAGGGGCGCGAACCGGAUUAGAUACCCGGGUAGUCCUGGCCGUAAACGAUGUGGACUUGGUGUUGGGAUGGCUUCGAGCUGCCCCAGUGCCGAAGGGAAGCUGUUAAGUCCACCGCCUGGGAAGUACGGCCGCAAGGCUGAAACUCAAAUGAAUUGACGGGG